GGGCCCGCACAAGCAGUGGAGUAUGUGGUUUAAUUCGAAGCAACGCGAAGAACCUUACCAGGGCUUGACAUCCCUCUGACUGGCUUAGAGAUAAGCCUUUUCUUCGGAACAGAGGUGACAGGUGGUGCAUGGUUGUCGUCAGCUCGUGUCGUGAGAUGUUGGGUUAAGUCCCGCAACGAGCGCAACCCCUGUUGUUAGUUGCCAUCAUUAAGUUGGGCACUCUAACGAGACUGCCGGUGACAAAUCGGAGGAAGGUGGGGACGACGUCAAAUCAUCAUGCCCCUUAUGUCCUGGGCUACACACGUACUACAAUGGCGACUACAGAGGGCAGCAACAUCGCGAGGUAGAGCAAAUCCCCAAAAGUCGCCCCAGUUCGGAUUGCAGGCUGAAACUCGCCUGCAUGAAGUCGGAAUUGCUAGUAAUGGCAGGUCAGCAUACUGCCGUGAAUACGUUCCCGGGCCUU
RNAcentral lists this ribosomal RNA (463 nucleotides) under uncultured bacterium. RNAcentral describes it as "bacterial SSU rRNA". It matches the Rfam family "Bacterial small subunit ribosomal RNA", at positions 917 to 1382 of the family's 1533-position model. The record is from RNAcentral.